RNAcentral lists this ribosomal RNA (497 nucleotides) under uncultured bacterium. RNAcentral describes it as "partial 16S ribosomal RNA". It matches the Rfam family "Bacterial small subunit ribosomal RNA", at positions 28 to 507 of the family's 1533-position model. The record is from RNAcentral.
GAUGAACGCUGGCGGCGUGCCUAAUACAUGCAAGUCGAGCGAACAGACGAGGAGCUUGCUCCUCUGACGUUAGCGGCGGACGGGUGAGUAACACGUGGAUAACCUACCUAUAAGACUGGGAUAACUUCGGGAAACCGGAGCUAAUACCGGAUAAUAUAUUGAACCGCAUGGUUCAAUAGUGAAAGACGGUUUUGCUGUCACUUAUAGAUGGAUCCGCGCCUCAUUAGCUAGUUGGUAAGGUAACGGCUUACCAAGGCAACGAUGCGUAGCCGACCUGAGAGGGUGAUCGGCCACACUGGAACGGAGACACGGUCCAGACUCCUACGGGAGGCAGCAGUAUGGAAUCUUCCGCAAUGGGCGAAAGCCUGACGGAGCAACGCCGCGUGAGUGAUGAAGGUCUUCGGAUCGUAAAACUCUGUUGUUAGGGAAGAACAAAUGUGUAAGUAACUAUGCACGUCUUGACGGUACCUAAUCAGAAAGCCACGGCUAACUACGUG